Molecule: ribosomal RNA, 397 nt
Filed under: uncultured bacterium
Lineage: Bacteria
Description: partial 16S ribosomal RNA
Rfam family: Bacterial small subunit ribosomal RNA
Source: RNAcentral
AUACGUAGGGGGCGAGCGUUGUCCGGAAUGAUUGGGCGUAAAGGGCGCGUAGGCGGCUUUGCAAGUCAGUAGUGGAAGUCCAUUUUUCAAGGAUGGAAGUGCUACAGAAACUGCGGAGCUUGAGUGCAGGAGAGGUUAUCGGAAUUCCCGGUGUAGCGGUGAAAUGCGUAGAGAUCGGGAGGAACACCAGUGGCGAAGGCGGGUAACUGGACCGCAACUGACGCUGAGGCGCGAAAGUGUGGGGAGCAAACAGGAUUAGAUACCCUGGUAGUCCACACUGUAAACGAUGAAUGCUAGGUGUAGGAGGUAUCGACCCCUUCUGUGCCGGAGUUAACACAAUAAGCAUUCCGCCUGGGGAGUACGGCCGCAAGGUUGAAACUCAAAUGAAUUGACGGGG